RNAcentral lists this ribosomal RNA (253 nucleotides) under uncultured bacterium. RNAcentral describes it as "partial 16S ribosomal RNA". It matches the Rfam family "Bacterial small subunit ribosomal RNA", at positions 524 to 776 of the family's 1533-position model. The record is from RNAcentral.
UACGUAGGUGGCAAGCGUUGUCCGGAAUCACUGGGCGUAAAGCGCGCGCAGGCGGCGAUCUACGUCUGGGGUGAAGGCCCGGAGCUCAACUCCGGGACUGCCUUGGAUACGGGAUCGCUUGAGAAUUGGAGAGGCAAGGGGAAUUCCACGUGUAGCGGUGAAAUGCGUAGAUAUGUGGAGGAACACCUGUGGCGAAGGCGCCUUGCUGGCCAAUUUCCGACGCUGAGGCGCGAAAGCGUGGGGAGCAAACAGG